This 468-nucleotide ribosomal RNA is filed under the name uncultured bacterium. RNAcentral's name for it is "partial 16S ribosomal RNA". It matches the Rfam family "Bacterial small subunit ribosomal RNA", at positions 28 to 507 of the family's 1533-position model. The record is from RNAcentral.
GACGAACGCUGGCGGCGUGCUUAACACAUGCAAGUCGAACGGAAAGGCCCUGCUUUUGUGGGGUGCUCGAGUGGCGAACGGGUGAGUAACACGUGAGUAACCUGCCCUUGACUUUGGGAUAACUUCAGGAAACUGGGGCUAAUACCGGAUAGGAGCUCCUGCUGCAUGGUGGGGGUUGGAAAGUUUCGGCGGUUGGGGAUGGACUCGCGGCUUAUCAGCUUGUUGGUGGGGUAGUGGCUUACCAAGGCUUUAACGGGUAGCCGGCCUGAGAGGGUGAACGGCCACAUUGGGACUGAGAGACGGCCCAGACGCCUACGGGAGGCAGCAGUGGGGAAUAUUGUACAAUGGGCGGAAGCCUGAUGCAGCAACGCCGCGUGCGGGAUGACGGCCUUCGGGUUGUAAACCGCUUUCGCCUGUGACGAAGCGUGAGUGACGGUAAUGGGUAAAGAAGCACCGGCUAACUACGUG